RNAcentral lists this ribosomal RNA (261 nucleotides) under uncultured prokaryote. Its description in RNAcentral is "partial 16S ribosomal RNA". It matches the Rfam family "Bacterial small subunit ribosomal RNA", at positions 524 to 784 of the family's 1533-position model. The record is from RNAcentral.
UACGUAGGUGGCAAGCGUUGUCCGGAUUUAUUGGGCGUAAAGCGAGCGCAGGUUGUUUCUUAAGUCUGAUGUGAAAGCCCACGGCUCAACCGUGGAAGGUCAUUGGAAACUGGGGAACUUGAAUGCAGAAGAGGAGAGUGGAAUUCCAUGUGUAGCGGUGAAAUGCGUAGAUAUAUGGAGGAACACCAGUGGCGAAGGUGACUCUCUGGACUGUAACUGACACUGAGGCACGAAAGCGUGGGGAGCAAACAGGAUUAGAUA